GAUGAACGCUGGCGGCGUGCCUAAUACAUGCAAGUCGAGCGAACGGACGAGAAGCUUGCUUCUCUGAUGUUAGCGGCGGACGGGUGAGUAACACGUGGAUAACCUACCUAUAAGACUGGGAUAACUUCGGGAAACCGGAGCUAAUACCGGAUAAUAUUUUGAACCGCAUGGUUCAAAAGUGAAAGACGGUCUUGCUGCCACUUAUAGAUGGAUCCGCGCUGCAUUAGCUAGUUGGUAAGGUAACGGCUUACCAAGGCAACGAUGCAUAGCCGACCUGAGAGGGUGAUCGGCCACACUGGAACUGAGACACGGUCCAGACUCCUACGGGAGGCAGCAGUAGGGAAUCUUCCGCAAUGGGCGAAAGCCUGACGGAGCAACGCCGCGUGAGUGAUGAAGGUCUUCCGAUCGUAAAACUCUGUUAUUAGGGAAGAACAUAUGUGUAAGUAACUGUGCACAUCUUGACGGUACCUAAUCAGAAAGCCACGGCUAACUACGUG
Molecule: ribosomal RNA, 497 nt
Filed under: uncultured bacterium
Lineage: Bacteria
Description: partial 16S ribosomal RNA
Rfam family: Bacterial small subunit ribosomal RNA
Source: RNAcentral